CAAGUUCCUCCUCUUCAAUUGCAGGUUUUUCAUCUUUCUCUCCAACAACUAGUUCUUCAGGUUUCUCUUCAAGUGCCAGUUCUUCAGGUGUUUCCUCCUUUGCCAGCUCUUCAGGUGUUUCCUCCUUUGCCAGCUCUUCAGGUGUUUCUUUAGCUGCCGGUUCUUCAGGUUUCUCUUCAACCUCCGGUUCUUGUGGUAUUUCCUCUACUUGUACUUCAGAUUUCUCCUCAAUUGUUGGUUCUUCAGGUUUCUCUCUAACCGCUGCUGCAUUAGGUUUCUCUUCAUUGGCUGGUUCUUCAGGUUUUUCUUCAACUACCGAUUCUUCAGGAUUUUCCUCAAUGUUUGGAAAGGGAGCGACAUCAUUAUUGGUAUUGCAUGGAAUUUCACUGCCAGUUUUGUCAUUCAAGUCCACAACUAGUAUAUUCUGCAAAAGAGUUUAAUGUUUCACUUAGUCUUUCAAUAAAGAAGCAGAUGCGAAUCAUUACAUAUACAUAACUAAUAACAUGGAUAAACUUUAUGACAGUAGUUGACCCUUACCUUUUCCACAAGAGUUACUUUUGCAGGUUUCUCCUCUUCAAGUGCUGGUUUCUCUUCAAAUGAUAGUUCAUUAGGUGUUUCUUCCCGUGUUGGUUCUUCAUGUGCUUCUUCAGUUACUGGUUUUUCAGGUUUCUCCUCAAUUGUUGGUUCUUCGCUUGUCUUCUCAACUGAUGGUUCCUCAUGCUUCUCUCCCGUUGUUGAUUUUUCGGGUUUCUCUUCAGUUGUCGAUGGUUCAGUUUUUUUCUCAACCGCUGGUUCUUUUGGCUUCUCCAAAACCAUUUCCGAUUUCUCUUCAGUUGGUGGUUCUUCAUGGUUUUUUUCAACUACUGGUUCUUCUCUUUUUUCCUCAACUGAUGCAUAGUCAGCAAUAUCGUUGUUGGUAUUGCUUGGAAUUGCAUUGUCUGUCUUGUCCUUUGAGCUUACAAUUGGCAUAUUCUGCUAGAAAAAUAUAAAGUUUCAUGUAGUCUUUCAACAGAGAAACCAAUGUAAAUUUGUUGCACAUAUAAAGCUAACAAAUAUGAUGGAUAGACUUUGCGAGAGUGUUUAAUACUCACCUUCUCCGGAAGAGCUUCCGUUUCAGGUUCCUCUUCAAUUUCUGCUUUUUCAUCUUUCUCUUCAACAACUAGUUCUUCAGGUGUCUCUUCAACCGUUGAUUCUUCAGGUUUCUCUUCAAGUGUUAGUUCUUGAGGUGUUUCCUCCUUUGCUAGCUCUUCAGGUGUUUCUGUAACUGCCGGUUCUUCAGGUUCCUCUUCAGCCACCGGCUGUUGACGUAUCUCCUCUACUUGUACUUCAGAUUUCUCCUCAAUUGUUGGUUCUUCAGGUUUCUCCUUAACCGCUGGUACAUCAGGUUUAUCCUCAUUGACUGGUUCUUCAACUGCUGAUUCUUCUAGAUUUUCCUCAAUGUCUGGAAAGCGAGCAACAUCAUUAUUGGUAUUGCAUGGAAUUUCAUUUCCAGUUUCGUUAUUCGAGUCUACAAUUAGCAUAUUCUGCAAAAAGAAUUUAAUGUUUCAUUUAGCCUUUCAAUAAAGAAGCAUAUGCGAAUAACAGUACAUGCAUAACUAACAAAAUGGAUAAACUUUGUGAUAGUGCUUGAUCCUUACCUUUGCCAAAAGAGUUACCUUUUCAGGUUUCUCCUCUUCAACGGUUGGUUCUUCAUGUUUCUUUUCAAAUGCUAGUUCCUUGGUUGUUUCUUCCGGUGUUGGUUCCAUAGGUGUUUCUUCAGUUACUUGUUUUUCGGGUUUCUCUUCAAUUAUUGGUUCUUCGAUUGUCUUCUCAACUGAUGGUUCUUCAAGAUUUUCUCCCACUGUUGGUUUUUGGGGUUUCUCUUCUAUUGUUGGUUGUUCAGGAAUUUUCUCAACUGGUGGUUCUGCUGGAUAUUCCAAAACCAUUGAUUCUUCAGAUUUCUCUUCAAUUGAUGGUUCUUCAUGGGUUUUUUCAACUACUGGUUCUUCAAUUUUUUCCUCAACAGAUGCAUAGUCAACAAUAUCAUUAUUGGUAUUGCUUGGAAUUGCAUCGUCUGUCAUGUCCUUUGAGUUUACUUUUGGCAUAUUCUGCAAUAGAGUUUCAUGUAAUCUUUCAACAGAUAAACAGAUGUAAAUUUGUUGCACAUAUAAAGCUAAUAUGGUGGAUAAACUUUGUGACAGUGUUUAAUCCUCACCUUCUCCUGAAGAUCUUCCGCUUCAAGUUCCUCCUCUACAAUUGCAGUUUUUUCCUCUUCCCCUUCAACAACUAGUUCUUCAGGUGCCUCUUCAGCCGUUGAUUCUUCAGGUUUCUCUUCAAGUGCUAGUUCUUCAGGUGUUUCCUCCUUUGCCAGCUCUUCAGGUGUUUCUUUAGAUGCCGAUUCUUCAGGUUUCUCUUCAGCCAUCGGUUCUUGAGGUAUUUCCUCUACUUGUACUUCAUAUUUCUCCUCAAUUGUUUGUUCUUCAGGUUUCUCUUCAGGUUUCUCCUUAACCACUGGUACAUCAGGUUUCUCUUGAUUAACUGGUUCUUUGGGUUUUUCUUCAACAGCCGAAUCUUCAGGAUUUUCCUCAAUGUCUUGAAAGCAAGCAAUAUCUUUAGUGGUAUUGCAUGGAAUUUCACUGCCAGUUUUGUUGUUCGAGUCUACAAUUAGCAUAUUCUGCAAAAGGAAUUUGAUGUUUCAUUUAGCCUUUUAAUAAAGAAGCAGAUGUGAAUAACAUUACAUGCAUAACUUACAAAAUGGAUAAAUUUUGUGACAGUCCUUGACCCUUACCUUUUCAGGUUUCUCCUCUUCAACAGCUGAUUCUUCAUGUUUCUCUUCAAAUGCUAGUUCUCUGGGUGUUUCUUCCCGUAGUGCUUCUUCAUGUGCUUCUUCAGUUACUGGUUUUUCAGGUUUCUCCUCAAUUGUUGGUUCUUUGAUUGUCUCCUCAACAGAUGGUUCUUCAAGCUUCUCUCCCGUUGUUGAUUUUUCUGGUUUCUCUUCAAUUGCUGGUUGUUCAGGAAUUUUCUCAACAGCUGGUUCUUCUGGCUUCUCUAAAACCAUUGAUUCUUCAGCUUUCUCUUCAAUUGAUGGUUCUUCAUGGUUUUUUUCAACUAUUGGUUCUUCAGUUUUUUCCUCAACGGAUGCAUAGUCAACAAUAUCAUUGUUGGUAUUGCUUGGAAUUGCAUCGUCUGUCAUGUCCUUUGAGUUUACUUUUGGCAUAUUCUACAAUAAAGUUUCAUGUAGUCUUUCAAUAGAUAAACAGAUGUAAAUUUGUUGCAACAUAUAAAGCUAAUAUGGUGGAUAAACUUUGUGACAGUGUUUAAUCCUCACCUUCUCCCGAAGAUCUUCCGCUUUAAGUUCCUCCUCUUCAAUUGCUGUUUUUUCAUCUUUCGUUUCAACAACUAGUUCUUCAGGUGCCUCUUCAGCCGUUGAUUCUUCAGGUUUUUCUUCAAGUGCCAGCUCUUCAGGUGUUUCCUCCUUUGCCAUCUCUUCAGGUGUUUCCUCCUUUGCCAGCUCUUCAGGUGUUUCUUUAGCUGCUGGUUCUUCAGGUUUCUCUUCAGCCGCCAGUUCUUGAGGUAUCUCCUUUUCUACUUCAGAUUUCUCCUCAACUGUUGGUUCUUCAGGUUUCUCUUCAUUAACUGGUUCUUUGGGUUUUUCUUCAACAGCCGAAUCUUCAGGAUUUUCCUCAAUGUCUGGAAAGUGAGCAACAUCUUUAUUGGUAUUGCAUGCAAUUUCACUGUCAGUUUUGUCGUUCAAGUCUACAAUUAGCAUAUUCUGCAAAAAGAAUUUGAUGUUUCAUUUAGCCUAUUAAUAAAGAAGCAGAUGUGAAUAACAUUACAUGCAUAACUUACAAAAUGGAUAAACUUUGUGAUGGUCCUUGACCCUUACCUUUCCAGGCUUCUCCUCUUCAACGGCCAGUUCUUGUUUCUCUUCAAAUGCUAGUUCCCUGGGUGUUUCUUCCUGUAUUGGUUCUUCAUGUGCUUCUUCAGGUACUGGUUUUUCAGGUUUCUCCUCAAUUGUUGGUUCUUCGAUUGUCUCCUCAACAGAUGGUUCUUCAAGGUUCUCUCCCGUUGUUGAGUCUUCUGGUUUCUCUUCAAUUGCUGGUUGUUCAGAAAUUUUCUCAACAGCUGGUUCUUCUGGCUUCUCCAAAACCAUUGAUUCUUCAGCUUUCUCUUCAAUUAAAGGUUCUUCAUGGUUUUUUUCAACUACUGUUUCUUCAGUUUUUUCCUCAACGGAUGCAUAGUCAACAACAUCAUUGUUGGUAUUGCUUGGAAUUGCAUCGUCUGUCAUGUCCUUUGAGCUUACUUUUGGCAUAUUCUGCAAUAAAGUUUCAUGUAGUCUUUCAAUAGAUAAACAGAUGUAAAUUUGUUGCACAUAUAAAGCCAAUAUGGUGGAUACACUUUGUGACAGUGUUUAAUCCUCACCUUCUCCUGAAGAUCUUCCGCUUCAAGUUCUUCCUCUUCAAUUGCUGUUUUUUCAUCUCUCUCUUCAACAACUUGUUCUUCAGGUGCCUCUUCAGCCGUUGAUUCUUCAGGUUUCUCUUCAAGCACUAGUUCUUCAGGUGUUUCCUCCUUUGCCAGCUCUUCAGGUGUUUCUUUAGCUGCCAGUUCUUCAGGUUUCUCUUCAGCUGCCGAUUCUUGAGGUAUUUCCUUUACCUGUACUUUAGAUUUCUCCUCAAAUGUUGGUUCUUCAGGUUUCUCCUUAACCGCAGGUACAUCAGGUUUCUCUUCAGCUGCUGGUUUUUGAGGUUUCUCCUCUACUUGUACCUCGGAUUUCUCCUCAACCAUCGGUUCUUCAGGUUUCUCCUCAACCUCUG
RNAcentral lists this long non-coding RNA (4793 nucleotides) under Capsicum annuum. RNAcentral describes it as "long non-coding RNA (CANN_LNC003850)". The record is from RNAcentral. Lineage: Eukaryota; Viridiplantae; Streptophyta; Magnoliopsida; Solanales; Solanaceae.